This 19-nucleotide non-coding RNA is filed under the name Arabidopsis thaliana (thale cress). Lineage: Eukaryota; Viridiplantae; Streptophyta; Magnoliopsida; Brassicales; Brassicaceae. The record is from RNAcentral.
UGGUGUCACUGAAGAUAUG